GAUGAACGCUGGCGGCGUGCCUAAUACAUGCAAGUCGAGCGAACGGACGAGAAGCUUGCUUCUCUGAUGUUAGCGGCGGACGGGUGAGUAACACGUGGAUAACCUACCUAUAAGACUGGGAUAACUUCGGGAAACCGUAGCUAAUACCGGAUAAUAUUUUGAACCGCAUGGUUCAAAAGUGAAAGACGGUCUUUCUGUCACUUAUAGAUGGAUCCGCGCUGCAUUAGCUAGUUGGUAAGGUAACGGCUUACCAAGGCAACGAGGCAUAGCCGACCUGAGAGGGUGAUCGGCCACCCUGGAACUGAGACACGGUCCAGACUACUACGGGAGGCAGCAGUAGGGAAUCUUCCGCAAUGGGCGAAAGCCUGACGGAGCAACGCCGCGUGAGUGAUGAAGGUCUUCGGAUCGUAAAACUCUGUUAUUAGUGAAGAACAUAUGUGUACGUAACUGUGCACAUCUUGACGGUACCUAAUCAGAAAGCCACGGCUAACUACGUG
This 497-nucleotide ribosomal RNA is filed under the name uncultured bacterium. RNAcentral describes it as "partial 16S ribosomal RNA". It matches the Rfam family "Bacterial small subunit ribosomal RNA", at positions 28 to 507 of the family's 1533-position model. The record is from RNAcentral.